GCCGUGGCAGCUCGAUUGGACGAGCAGCGGGCUUCUACCCCGACGGCUGGAGGUUCGAGCCCUCCCUGCGGCGCCA
RNAcentral lists this transfer RNA (76 nucleotides) under Planctomycetota bacterium. RNAcentral's name for it is "Planctomycetes bacterium (activated sludge metagenome) tRNA-Arg". It matches the Rfam family "tRNA". Rfam says of the family: Transfer RNA (tRNA) molecules are approximately 80 nucleotides in length. Lineage: Bacteria; Pseudomonadati; Planctomycetota. The record is from RNAcentral.